UGGGGAAUCUUAGACAAUGGGGGCAACCCUGAUCUAGCCAUGCCGCGUGAGUGAUGAAGGCCUUCGGGUUGUAAAGCUCUUUCAGCUGGGAAGAUAAUGACGGUACCAGCAGAAGAAGCCCCGGCUAACUCCGUGCCAGCAGCCGCGGUAAUACGGAGGGGGCUAGCGUUGUUCGGAAUUACUGGGCGUAAAGCGCACGUAGGCGGACCAGCAAGUUAGGGGUGAAAUCCCGGGGCUCAACCCCGGAACUGCCCUUAAGACUGUUGAUCUGGAGUUCGAGAGAGGUGAGUGGAAUUCCGAGUGUAGAGGUGAAAUUCGUAGAUAUUCGGAGGAACACCAGUGGCGAAGGCGGCUCACUGGCUCGAUACUGACGCUGAGGUGCGAAAGCGUGGGGAGCAAACAGG
RNAcentral lists this ribosomal RNA (404 nucleotides) under uncultured bacterium. RNAcentral describes it as "bacterial SSU rRNA". It matches the Rfam family "Bacterial small subunit ribosomal RNA", at positions 355 to 776 of the family's 1533-position model. The record is from RNAcentral.